GACGUAGGGCGCGAGCGUUGUCCGGAUUUAUUGGGCGUAAAGAGCUCGUAGGCGGCUUGUCGCGUCGAAUGUGAAAACUCGGGGCUCAACUCCGAGCUUGCAUUCGAUACGGGCAGGCUAGAGUUCGGUAGGGGAGACUGGAAUUCCUGGUGUAGCGGUGAAAUGCGCAGAUAUCAGGAGGAACACCGGUGGCGAAGGCGGGUCUCUGGGCCGAUACUGACGCUAAGGAGCGAAAGCGUGGGGAGCGAACAGG
This 253-nucleotide ribosomal RNA is filed under the name uncultured bacterium. RNAcentral describes it as "partial 16S ribosomal RNA". It matches the Rfam family "Bacterial small subunit ribosomal RNA", at positions 524 to 776 of the family's 1533-position model. The record is from RNAcentral.